Molecule: ribosomal RNA, 274 nt
Filed under: uncultured bacterium
Lineage: Bacteria
Description: partial 16S ribosomal RNA
Rfam family: Bacterial small subunit ribosomal RNA
Source: RNAcentral
AUACGGAGGGGGCUAGCGUUGUUCGGAAUUACUGGGCGUAAAGGGCGUGUAGGCGGCUUCGCCAGUCAGGCGUGAAAGCCCCGGGCUUAACCUGGGAAUUGCGCUUGAUACUGCGAGGCUAGAGUUCGGGAGAGGAGAGCGGAAUUCCCAGUGUAGAGGUGAAAUUCGUAGAUAUUGGGAAGAACACCAGUGGCGAAGGCGGCUCUCUGGACCGAUACUGACGCUGAGGCGCGAAAGCGUGGGGAGCAAACAGGAUUAGAAACCCCAGUAGUCC